This 395-nucleotide ribosomal RNA is filed under the name uncultured bacterium. RNAcentral describes it as "bacterial SSU rRNA". It matches the Rfam family "Bacterial small subunit ribosomal RNA", at positions 958 to 1352 of the family's 1533-position model. The record is from RNAcentral.
AACGCGAAGAACCUUACCAGGCCUUGACAUGCAGAGAACUUUCCAGAGAUGGAUUGGUGCCUUCGGGAACUGUGACACAGGUGCUGCAUGGCGGUCGUCAGCUCGUGUCGUGAGAUGUUGGGUUAAGUCCCGUAACGAGCGCAACCCUUGUCCUUAGUUACCAGCACGUUAUGGUGGGCACUCUAAGGAGACUGCCGGUGACAAACCGGAGGAAGGUGGGGAUGACGUCAAGUCAUCAUGGCCCUUACGGCCUGGGCUACACACGUGCUACAAUGGUCGGUACAGAGGGUUGCCAAGCCGCGAGGUGGAGCUAAUCUCACAAAACCGAUCGUAGUCCGGAUCGCAGUCUGCAACUCGACUGCGUGAAGUCGGAAUCGCUAGUAAUCGCGAAUCAG